UACGAAGGGGGCUAGCGUUGCUCGGAAUCACUGGGCGUAAAGCGCGCGUAGGCGGACCUGCAAGUCGGGGGUGAAAGCCCGAGGCUCAACCUCGGAACUGCCUUCGAUACUGCGGGUCUCGAGUCCGGGAGAGGUGAGUGGAAUUCCUAGUGUAGAGGUGAAAUUCGUAGAUAUUAGGAAGAACACCAGUGGCGAAGGCGGCUCACUGGCCCGGUACUGACGCUGAGGCGCGAAAGCGUGGGGAGCAAACAGG
This 253-nucleotide ribosomal RNA is filed under the name uncultured bacterium. RNAcentral's name for it is "partial 16S ribosomal RNA". It matches the Rfam family "Bacterial small subunit ribosomal RNA", at positions 524 to 776 of the family's 1533-position model. The record is from RNAcentral.